This 609-nucleotide long non-coding RNA is filed under the name Citrus x clementina. RNAcentral describes it as "Citrus clementina (C. clementina) long non-coding RNA (CCLE_LNC005663)". Lineage: Eukaryota; Viridiplantae; Streptophyta; Magnoliopsida; Sapindales; Rutaceae. The record is from RNAcentral.
AUGGAUAUCCUUAAUAGUUGUAUAAACCGGCUUGCCAAAAUAUAUGCUAAGUGUAUGAAAUCUAAGAUUCUAAAUAUACUUGUCAAAACAUAAAAAAGAAAACAAUUGAAGAACAUAUUCAAAUACAUAUACAAAUAAAGGCUGAAUAAAUAAUUGGACUAAACACAAUAAACUCAUCAACAAUUCACUGCAAAUGAAUAAUAUACAAUAAAUUAAAGAGAGAAAACAAAUCAUUAUAUGAAAUAUGGAAGGGAUAUAUAAGCAACCACAGAAAAAAUAAUAAAUCACACACCUUUAUUACUGUUUGAUAAGAAAUAAUUAAUUCAAAUUGCUCAAUUAGCAUAAGCAAGUAAGCACGCAACAAUAUCAAUGGUGGUAAACAACAAAGGUGUUUGGUAUGAUCCAAUCUAUGCUUUUCCAACGAAACAACUAAUUGUGUGCCAUAUUAAGAAACAGAUAAAAUACCUUAAAUUUGUUAUAUUCAUUUAGAUGAAUACUUUAUACAAUUACUAGGGAUAUUUAUGAUAUUUUUCCCUACUUGUGAUUUUUCACCGUACUUUGCAAUUUGUUAUUAAAUUAAUUUAAUCAUUAAUUGUAUAUAAGGCAUUU